RNAcentral lists this ribosomal RNA (113 nucleotides) under Acanthosepion pharaonis. The record is from RNAcentral. Lineage: Eukaryota; Metazoa; Mollusca; Cephalopoda; Sepiida; Sepiidae.
UAUGGCCAUGUCACAUUGAAACACCAGUUCCCAUACAAUCACCAAAGUUAAGCAGUGUCAAGCCUGGUCAGUACCUAGAUGGGUAACCACUUGGAGAUACCAGGUGCUGUAAG